UACAGAGGGUGCGAGCGUUGUCCGGAAUCACUGGGCGUAAAGGGCGCGUAGGUGGCCCGCCAAGUCAGUGGUGAAAGCUCGACGCUCAACGUCGAGUCGGCCACUGAUACUGGGGGGCUGGAGCACUGUAGAGGCUCAUGGAAUUCCGGGUGUAGCGGUGGAAUGCGUAGAGAUCCGGAAGAACACCGGUGGCGAAGGCGGUGAGCUGGGCAGUUGCUGACACUGAGGCGCGACAGCGUGGGGAGCAAACAGG
Molecule: ribosomal RNA, 253 nt
Filed under: uncultured bacterium
Lineage: Bacteria
Description: partial 16S ribosomal RNA
Rfam family: Bacterial small subunit ribosomal RNA
Source: RNAcentral